UACAGAGGGUGCGAGCGUUGUCCGGAAUCACUGGGCGUAAAGGGCGCGUAGGCGGGCUAUAAAGUCAGUGGUGAAAUCUUUCAGCUCAACUGGAAAAGUGCCGCUGAUACUGAUAGUCUCGAGGGAGGUAGGGGUCGAUGGAACUAAUGGUGGAGCGGUGAAAUGCGUAGAUAUCAUUAGGAACGCCGGUGGCGAAAGCGAUCGACUGGACCUCUUCUGACGCUGAGGCGCGAAAGCUAGGGGAGCAAACGGG
This 253-nucleotide ribosomal RNA is filed under the name uncultured bacterium. Its description in RNAcentral is "partial 16S ribosomal RNA". It matches the Rfam family "Bacterial small subunit ribosomal RNA", at positions 524 to 776 of the family's 1533-position model. The record is from RNAcentral.